AGCGAACGCUGGCGGCGUGCUUAACACAUGCAAGUCGAGUGCACAGUUUUCUGUAGCAAUACAGGAAAUGGGUGCACGGCGCACGGGUGCGUAACACGUGGGUAAUCUGCCCUUCGGUGGGGAAUAACCCCGCGAAAGCGGGGCUAAUUCCGCAUGACAUUCCAGGAACCCUGGUUUCCGGAUUCAAAGGCCGCAAGGUCGCCGGAGGAGGAACCCGCGCCCGAUUAGCUAGUUGGUAGGGUAAUGGCCUACCAAGGCUAUGAUCGGUAGCCGGUCU
This 277-nucleotide ribosomal RNA is filed under the name uncultured bacterium. RNAcentral's name for it is "partial 16S ribosomal RNA". It matches the Rfam family "Bacterial small subunit ribosomal RNA", at positions 29 to 293 of the family's 1533-position model. The record is from RNAcentral.